CACACCUGAGGCAGCGUCGACACAGACCACAACAUUCUUCAAUAAGGACCUGUUAGGGAGCCAGUCCAGGAGAUUAAAGAUACAAUUCAGAUGAACUGUUACAAGGUAACUCCAUGUCAACAGCUGAACUCUGAUCGGGUCAAGGGAUACAUUGGCAAUGAAGUGUUAGAGUGAAUUCUAGUUGCCUAUCUCAGAUGUUGUAAUGUGGUUCAAGAAAGGACCUGAAGAAAAGACGCCGAGAUUGUCUUCUGUACUUCGAAAAAUGGUAUAAGCAGGGGAAGCUGGUGAGAGAGAAUUUGAAAAUAAAUAGCGGGAUGUACCUGCUGCUGGGUGACACCUCAGUGAUGUGUGCAGCACCUGUUACCUCUGGACUGGCUUUAUGGUGAUAUAAAAUCCUGUUCUGUGACAUGUGGCUGGUGUUAUUCACUUUGUAAUUCUUUGGGGAAGCUUUCCUUUGCUGACUUCCAUAACUCAAAUGGACGGGGACCAAAUAGAAGAUAUUUGGCCUUCUCCAAGGCCAUCCUGCCGACAUACAUGGUAGCAAACACUCAGCAAAAAGAUAUUUAUUUGGUUGUUUUUUGCUUUCUAUGUUUUUCAAAAUUGCAAGGAGAAGAAGAAAAUACACAAACACAGGUCUCUGCCUUGAGGUCCUAAAAGCUGCAAAUGAGACCUGUCUUACAAGGAAAUAAAAAAGAGA
RNAcentral lists this long non-coding RNA (697 nucleotides) under Homo sapiens (human). Its description in RNAcentral is "long non-coding RNA NONHSAT216720.1". Lineage: Eukaryota; Metazoa; Chordata; Mammalia; Primates; Hominidae. The record is from RNAcentral.